AAAUUUGGUAACAGUAGGUAGGCAGCUAGUCAGUGUUCCAUUUCUGCAUUUUCCUUGCAUGGAUCAUGAUAUAGAGUAUUCUUGCUUUUUAAGUCUUCACUCUGAUUGUACCAGUUAAAGUAGUUUAAUUUUUACUGGAAUAUGCAUGUUGUUCCUUUUCUGCAACUUCAGUGUGUCUCUCUUCAGGUGAUUGGCAUUGAUUCUCAAUGGUCUGCAAAAUAAUAAAGAAUACAUUGUGCUUAUAUGAAAGUUGAGUCCUAAAUCUUCUUCCUCAAAAGCUUAUAUUCUUUUUUUAUCGAAAGAAAAAAAAAGAUUAUAUUCUCUUUGAAACAGCUGUAUAUUCGUAAUACCCAUAGAUGUUUGUCUGUAUCUCAGGCAUAACUCUUCUAUCUUUGGGUGGUGCUGUGUUGGUUUAGAACAUGUACUUUGACCCCAAAUGUUUUGAUUAUAAGGUGGUCAUAAAGUCAAACAGUUAAAUGUUGCUGAAUUUGCAUUGUCUGCUAACAUGCAUUAUGAAUGAAAGUAUGAAACAUGUUAGUUUAGAACUAACCCAUACACAAGCAUAUUAUGAUGAUAGUUUAGAACUAUCGUAAAAAGACAAGGUUGUGCAGUUCUGCUAAUACUCUUUGUUUCUUGUGUGUGUGUGUGUGUG
This 652-nucleotide unclassified non-coding RNA is filed under the name Hevea brasiliensis (rubber tree). The record is from RNAcentral. Lineage: Eukaryota; Viridiplantae; Streptophyta; Magnoliopsida; Malpighiales; Euphorbiaceae.